UUGCACGCUGGCGGCCGGCCUAACACAUGCAAGUCGAACGGUAACAGGAAGCAGCUUGCUGCUUUGCUGACGCGUGGCGGACGGGUGAGUAAUGUCUGGGAAACUGCCUGAUGGAGGGGGAUAACUACUGGAAACGGAAGCUAAUACCGCAUAACGUCGCAAGACCAAAGAGGGGGACCUUAGGGCCUCUUGCCAUCGGAUGUGCCCAGAUGGGAUUAGCUAGUAGGUGGGGUAACGGCUCACCUAGGCGACGAUCCCUAGCUGGUCUGAGAGGAUGACCAGCCACACUGGAACUGAGACACGGUCCAGACUCCUACGGGAGGCAGCAGUGGGGAAUAUUGCACAAUGGGCGCAAGCCUGAUGCAGCCAUGCCGCGUGUAUGAAGAAGGCCUUCGGGUUGUAAAGUACUUUCAGCGGGGAGGAAGGGAGUAAAGUUAAUACCUUUGCUCAUUGACGUUACCCGCAGAAGAAGCACCGGCUAACUCCGUG
This 489-nucleotide ribosomal RNA is filed under the name uncultured bacterium. Its description in RNAcentral is "partial 16S ribosomal RNA". It matches the Rfam family "Bacterial small subunit ribosomal RNA", at positions 30 to 507 of the family's 1533-position model. The record is from RNAcentral.